RNAcentral lists this ribosomal RNA (531 nucleotides) under uncultured bacterium. RNAcentral's name for it is "bacterial SSU rRNA". It matches the Rfam family "Bacterial small subunit ribosomal RNA", at positions 777 to 1307 of the family's 1533-position model. The record is from RNAcentral.
AAUAGAUACCCGGGUAGUCCACGACCGUAAACGAUGAGUGCUAAGUGUUAGAGGGUUUCCGCCCUUUAGUGCUGAAGUUAACGCAUUAAGCACUCCGCCUGGGGAGUACGGCCGCAAGGCUGAAACUCAAAGGAAUUGACGGGGGCCCGCACAAGCGGUGGAGCAUGUGGUUUAAUUCGAAGCAACGCGAAGAACCUUACCAGGUCUUGACAUCCUCUGACAACCCUAGAGAUAGGGCUUCUCCUUCGGGAGCAGAGUGACAGGUGGUGCAUGGUUGUCGUCAGCUCGUGUCGUGAGAUGUUGGGUUAAGUCCCGCAACGAGCGCAACCCUUGAUCUUAGUUGCCAUCAUUAAGUUGGGCACUCUAAGGUGACUGCCGGUGACAAACCGGAGGAAGGUGGGGAUGACGUCAAAUCAUCAUGCCCCUUAUGACCUGGGCUACACACGUGCUACAAUGGACGGUACAAAGAGCUGCAAGACCGCGAGGUGGAGCUAAUCUCAUAAAACCGUUCUCAGUUCGGAUUGUAGGCUG